CGAUUUACAUGCGACGAAACAAAAGGAUAAGGAUUAAUACUCCCGAAAAUGGCACUAACAGUGGCACGCAAAAUGAAGACUGACACAAAAAUUUGCACAGAGACAUAGAUAAGACAAAACAACAAAUGUUGAACUAAGCAAAUUUAAUAUGGAGAACUAGUCACAUUUUUAAUAGUCAAUGACACUAAAAUAAACGAAUAAACAGGAACUUCAUGUAAUUAGGCAAUGUAAUUAAUUAAGUUGACGAAAUAUUUGAUAGCUGAAAUAAUGAAGUUGGUUUCAAACAGUGACUUUCAGCGCAAACUAAAAAAAACACAUAGAGGUCAUCCAAGAGGCUCUCAUAUUUUAAGAACUCAACUGCAAAUAGCUAAUAAUCCUCCGACUAAGAGAAAACUUAGACAAAAAUGGAGACAUAAAAAAAUGGCUCAAAUAAUUUACUAUAAGCGAUAGAAACAUCAUAGAUAUACCAAAACGAAGACAGAACUAAACUAUUAGAACAAAACAAUCACACCACAUGAUGGCUUU
RNAcentral lists this long non-coding RNA (525 nucleotides) under Solanum tuberosum (potato). Its description in RNAcentral is "long non-coding RNA (STUB_LNC007609)". The record is from RNAcentral. Lineage: Eukaryota; Viridiplantae; Streptophyta; Magnoliopsida; Solanales; Solanaceae.